This 460-nucleotide ribosomal RNA is filed under the name uncultured bacterium. Its description in RNAcentral is "partial 16S ribosomal RNA". It matches the Rfam family "Bacterial small subunit ribosomal RNA", at positions 338 to 795 of the family's 1533-position model. The record is from RNAcentral.
CCUACGGGUGGCAGCAGUGAGGAAUAUUGGUCAAUGGGCGAGAGCCUGAACCAGCCAAGUCGCGUGAAGGAUGACGGCCCUACGGGUUGUAAACUUCUUUUGUCAGGGAGCAAUUGAGUCCACGUGUGGUCUUAGCGAGAGUACCUGAAGAAAAAGCAUCGGCUAACUCCGUGCCAGCAGCCGCGGUAAUACGGAGGAUGCGAGCGUUAUUCGGAUUUAUUGGGUUUAAAGGGUGCGUAGGCGGUCCGUUAAGUCAGCGGUAAAAUUGCGGGGCUCAACCCCGUCGAGCCGUUGAAACUGGCAGACUUGAGUUGGCGAGAAGUACGCGGAAUGCGCGGUGUAGCGGUGAAAUGCAUAGAUAUCGCGCAGAACUCCGAUUGCGAAGGCAGCGUACCGGCGCCAGACUGACGCUGAGGCACGAAAGCGUGGGGAUCGAACAGGAUUAGAUACCCUUGUAGUC